Molecule: ribosomal RNA, 253 nt
Filed under: uncultured bacterium
Lineage: Bacteria
Description: partial 16S ribosomal RNA
Rfam family: Bacterial small subunit ribosomal RNA
Source: RNAcentral
UACGAAGGGUGCUAGCGUUGUUCGGAAUCACUGGGCGUAAAGGGUGCGUAGGCGGCUUGACAAGCCAGAGGUGAAAGCCUGGAGCUUAACUCCAGAACUGCCUUUGGAACUGUCUGGCUAGAGUGUCGGAGGGGAUAGCGGAAUUUCUAAUGUAGCGGUGAAAUGCGUAGAUAUUAGAAGGAACACCGGUGGCGAAGGCGGCUAUCUGGACGACAACUGACGCUGAGGCACGAAAGCGUGGGGAUCAAACAGG